This 865-nucleotide ribosomal RNA is filed under the name uncultured archaeon. Its description in RNAcentral is "bacterial SSU rRNA". It matches the Rfam family "Archaeal small subunit ribosomal RNA", at positions 474 to 1337 of the family's 1478-position model. The record is from RNAcentral.
UACCCGCAGCACAAGUGGUGUCCACGAUUAUAUGGGCUUAAAGCGCUCGUAGCUGGCUGAUGCCGUCCCAUGUGAAAUAUUGGCGCUCAACGUCAAUGCGGGCAUGGGAUACCCAUCAGCUUGGGAGCGGGUGAGGUCAGGGGUACUUAUGGGGGAGGGGUAAAAUCCUGUAAUCCUAUAAGGACCAACGGUGGCGAAGGCGCCUGACCAGAACGCAUCCGACAGUGAGGAGCGAAGGCUAGGAGAACGAAUCGGAUCAGAUACCCGAGUAGCCCUAGCAGUAAAUUAUGCAGACUCUGGUGUUGCCGAUGUCUUGAAUAUCGGCAGUACCGUAGCGAAAGUGUUAAGUCUGCCGCCUGGGGAGUACGGCCGCAAGGUUGAAACUUAAAGCAAUUGGCGGGGGAGCACACAAGGGGUGGAUGCUGCGGUUUAAUUGAACCCAACGUCGGAAAUCUUACCGGGAGCGACGGCAGUGUGAAGGCCAGACUGAAGAUCUUGCCUGACGAGCCGAGAGGUAGCGCAUGGCGACCGUCAGCUCGUGGUGUGAACUGUCCGGUUAAGUCCGGGAACGAGCGAGACCCUCAUUGACAGUUGCCACUGUUUCAGUGAUGAAGCAAGCACUCUGUCGAGACCGCCUCUGUUUAAAGAGGAGGAAGGAGAGGGCGACGAUACGUCAGUAUGCUCUGAAUCUUCCGGGCUACACGCGGCAUACAAAGGUUGGCACAAUGGGAUGCAACUCCGAAAGGAGGAGCCAAUCCCCUAAAACCAUCCUUAGUUUGGAUUGAGGGCUGAAACUCGCCCUCAUGAAAAUGGAAUCCCUAGUAAUCGCAUGUCACUAUCGUGCGGUGAAUCUGUCCCAGCUCCU